RNAcentral lists this ribosomal RNA (433 nucleotides) under uncultured bacterium. Its description in RNAcentral is "partial 16S ribosomal RNA". It matches the Rfam family "Bacterial small subunit ribosomal RNA", at positions 29 to 507 of the family's 1533-position model. The record is from RNAcentral.
AACGAACGCUGGCGGCAUGCCUAACACAUGCAAUUCGAACUAGACCUUCGGGUCUAGUGGCGCACGUGUGCGUAACUCUUGAGAACCUGCCCUUAGGUUCGGAAUAACUCCCCAAAAUGGGUGCUAAUACCGGCUAAUGUCUUCGGACCAACGAUUUAUCGCCUUUGGAUGGGCCCGCUUUGGAUUAUCUAGUUGUUAGGGUAAAAUCCUACCAAGGCGACGAUCCAUAGCUGGUCUGAUAGGAUGACAAGCCACACUGGGACUGAGACACGACCGAGAAUGGUACGGAAGGAAGAAGUGGGGAAGAUGGGAAAAGGGAGGAAAGACUGACCCAGCAAUGGCGCGUGAGUGAUGAAGACUUUAGGGUUGUAAAGGCAGUAGACACGGGAUGAUAAUGACAGUACCGGGAGAAUAAGCCACGGAUAACUCAGUG